Molecule: small nuclear RNA, 104 nt
Filed under: Marmota marmota marmota (Alpine marmot)
Lineage: Eukaryota; Metazoa; Chordata; Mammalia; Rodentia; Sciuridae
Also listed under: 1 other name
Source: RNAcentral
GUGUUCACUUUAGCAGCACAAAUACAAACGCUGAAAUAUAAAGAAGAUUACAGUGGCCCCUGUGCAAGGAUCACAUCAAUUCAUGAAAAGUUGUCCAUAUUUUU